This 92-nucleotide small RNA is filed under the name Salmonella enterica subsp. enterica serovar Infantis. Its description in RNAcentral is "partial RtT sRNA". It matches the Rfam family "RtT RNA", at positions 37 to 130 of the family's 130-position model. From Rfam's summary of the family: This family represents a bacterial cis-regulatory element known as RtT RNA. The exact function of RtT is unknown although it is thought that it may be involved in changing the cellular response in relation to amino acid starvation. The record is from RNAcentral. RNAcentral also lists the same sequence under 21 other names. Lineage: Bacteria; Pseudomonadati; Pseudomonadota; Gammaproteobacteria; Enterobacterales; Enterobacteriaceae.
GCAGGUUCGGGUCUCACGUAGUGAGACAACGGAGCCGCUUGCGGCGACGGCCCGAAGGGCGAGCAAAGCGAGUCAUCCUGCACGACCCACCA